This 895-nucleotide ribosomal RNA is filed under the name uncultured bacterium. Its description in RNAcentral is "bacterial SSU rRNA". It matches the Rfam family "Bacterial small subunit ribosomal RNA", at positions 8 to 916 of the family's 1533-position model. The record is from RNAcentral.
AGAGUUGAUCCUGGCUCAGGAUGAACGCUGGCGGCGUGCUAAUACAUGCAAGUCGAGCGAACCACUUCGGUGGUGAGCGGCGAACGGGUGAGUAACACGUAGGUGAUCUGCCCAUCAGACGGGGACAACGAUUGGAAACGACCGCUAAUACCGGAUAGGACGAAAGUUUAAAGGUGCUCCUGGCACCGCUGAUGGAUGAGCCUGCGGCGCAUUAGCUAGUUGGUAGGGUAAAGGCCUACCAAGGCGACGAUGCGUAGCCGACCUGAGAGGGUGAACGGCCACACUGGGACUGAGACACGGCCCAGACUCCUACGGGAGGCAGCAGUAGGGAAUCUUCGGCAAUGGGCGAAAGCCUGACCGAGCAACGCCGCGUGAAUGAUGAAGGCCUUCGGGUUGUAAAAUUCUGUUAUAAGGGAAGAACGACUUUAGUAGGAAAUGGCUAAAGUGUGACGGUACCUUAUGAGAAAGCCACGGCUAACUACGUGCCAGCAGCUGCGGUAAUACGUAGGGGGCGAGCGUUGUCCGGAAUUACUGGGCGUAAAGGGUGCGUAGGCGGCCCUUUAAGUCGGAUGUGAAAGCCCGCGGCUUAACCGCGGAAUGGCAUUCGAAACUGGAGGGCUUGAGUGUCGGAGAGGGUAGUGGAAUUCCCAGUGUAGCGGUGAAAUGCGUAGAUACUGGGAGGAACACCAGUGGCGAAGGCGACUACCUGGACGAUAACUGACGCUGAGGCACGAAAGCUAGGGGAGCAAACAGGAUUAGAUACCCUGGUAGUCCUAGCCGUAAACGAUGGGUACUAGGUGUGGGUGGUUUCGAUACCAUCCGUGCCGUAGUUAACGCAUUAAGUACCCCGCCUGGGGAGUACGUGCGCAAGCAUGAAACUCAAAUGAAUUGACGG